This 466-nucleotide ribosomal RNA is filed under the name uncultured bacterium. RNAcentral describes it as "partial 16S ribosomal RNA". It matches the Rfam family "Bacterial small subunit ribosomal RNA", at positions 28 to 507 of the family's 1533-position model. The record is from RNAcentral.
GAUGAACGCUGGCGGCGUGCUUAACACAUGCAAGUCGAACGAUGAAGCCCAGCUUGCUGGGUGGAUUAGUGGCGAACGGGUGAGUAACACGUGAGUAACCUGCCCUUAACUCUGGGAUAAGCCUGGGAAACUGGGUCUAAUACCGGAUAGGAGCGUCCACCGCAUGGUGGGUGUUGGAAAGAUUUAUCGGUUUUGGAUGGACUCGCGGCCUAUCAGCUUGUUGGUGAGGUAAUGGCUCACCAAGGCGACGACGGGUAGCCGGCCUGAGAGGGUGACCGGCCACACUGGGACUGAGACACGGCCCAGACUCCUACGGGAGGCAGCAGUGGGGAAUAUUGCACAAUGGGCGCAAGCCUGAUGCAGAGACGCCGCGUGAGGGAUGACGGCCUUCGGGUUGUAAACCUCUUUCAGUAGGGAAGAAGCGAAAGUGACGGUACCUGCAGAAGAAGCACCGGCUAACUACGUG